GGGGCCGGGCCUGGGCCUCCGGGGACAGCGCCCCCUGUGGUGGGCGCGGGGCGGCCUCCCUCGGAGCGGGGCCGCGACCGAGGACGCCCGAUUCGUGGACCUCGCAGAAAUUGAGGCUGGACGUCCAAGCGGUGAAGGAGCAAGAGGACAUCCUAGGGCUGGUGAAAACAGGAAGGUCCAGAGGGUGGUGGAUCUUCAAACGUUGUGGCAGUGGACGGAGGACCCAAGAACCCUGUGAAAUCCGGGCUGGCGAAGGAUCCUGUGUCUGCAGCAUGCAAGUAGGAUCCCCAGCCCCCCACCCCCAGCCUUCCUUGACCAAAGGGGUCCAGCGCUCCUGCUUCGGAUCUGAAGAUUUUCCAGGCAGAUGAGGUUUACCUCUUGGUUAGGCAAAUGACAAGCAGUCUCACCUUGCGGAUCAAGGAAUGGGCCACAAGAUAAACGGAGACAAACCAGACAGAGGGGACCAGAGAGCCAGUGGACAAUACAGGAGAUAACUUUAUUGAAACGCAAAUGGCAUCGAACAGAUGAAUCUUGCCGGGAGGAGACAUGCCUGAUGGAACAGAGGGCCCAGAUAAGAGGGGCCUCUGGCAGUGAUGGAGGAAGGCCUCUUCAGCUGGCCUGCCAUGGACUUCAUUGUCAACCAAUUUUUGCUUAAAACGAAUUACUGAGGGGACAACUCAACUCUCUUCAUGAUUGUUACCGCAACUAUAUACAAUGGUUUGCUUUCCAGAUUCAAAUUUGCUUUCUCUACAUUAGAUAUAAAAGGGGGUAGAUUGAAAGAGGGGGAGGGUCCAAUGAGGGAAAAAAAAAAAAACACAGACACACAC
RNAcentral lists this long non-coding RNA (827 nucleotides) under Canis lupus dingo (dingo). RNAcentral describes it as "lncRNA (ENSCAFG00020017153.1)". Lineage: Eukaryota; Metazoa; Chordata; Mammalia; Carnivora; Canidae. The record is from RNAcentral.